Molecule: long non-coding RNA, 497 nt
Organism: Pieris rapae (cabbage white)
Lineage: Eukaryota; Metazoa; Arthropoda; Insecta; Lepidoptera; Pieridae
Exons: 2
Source: RefSeq, a predicted model, not a curated record
UUGUAACCGGUAAUAUUAGUAAAAGUAUUUUUAGGUUUGGCAAAGACUUAAGGAAAAUGUUCUGAAUUAUUAAUGUAUCGUAUGUUAGCAAAGCGAUAUAGUUUAAAAUUUCCUUCCUAAUCCUAAAAAUGGAUAUCAAUAGUUUUAUAGCUACCUUAGUAACUGAACUUAGGACGUUAUUAAAAAAAAAUGUUUAUUAUGGAACAUAAGAUACAGGUAUCACUGUUUCUACGUCAUUAAUGGAAUGGGCAUCUCUACUCAUUGGCAAAGAAUACAGAGGGUGUAGGCUGACAGAAAAACCCGGCGUAAUAAAGAUACUUAAAAAAAAGUAUUUAUUUUAAAACAAAUAAAGCAAAUUAAUUAGAAGUAGCCUGUGUAGUCCCAGGUCCCAGACUAGUCCCAGGUCCUUUUAAUAAUAAUAUGUAAUAAAGCCCAUUUAAUUUCCAAUGAUGAGAAAAAGAUAAUACAGAUACAGAUUAUAUUUUUUACAUUUUAAA